RNAcentral lists this ribosomal RNA (460 nucleotides) under uncultured bacterium. RNAcentral describes it as "partial 16S ribosomal RNA". It matches the Rfam family "Bacterial small subunit ribosomal RNA", at positions 338 to 795 of the family's 1533-position model. The record is from RNAcentral.
CCUACAGGGGGCAGCAGUGAGGAAUAUUGGUCAAUGGCCGUAAGGCUGAACCAGCCAAGUCGCGUGAAGGAAGAAGGAUCUAUGGUUUGUAAACUUCUUUUAUAGGGGAAUAAAGGUAUCCACGUGUGGAUCUUUGCAUGUACCCUAUGAAUAAGCAUCGGCUAACUCCGUGCCAGCAGCCGCGGUAAUACGGAGGAUGCGAGCGUUAUCCGGAUUUAUUGGGUUUAAAGGGUGCGUAGGUUGUUUUUUAAGUCAGCGGUGAAAGUUUGUGGCUCAACCAUAAAAUUGCCGUUGAAACUGGAAGACUUGAGUGUGUUUGAGGUAGGCGGAAUGCGUGGUGUAGCGGUGAAAUGCAUAGAUAUCACGCAGAACUCCGAUUGCGAAGGCAGCUUACUAAGCCAUAACUGACACUGAAGCACGAAAGCGUGGGGAUCAAACAGGAUUAGAUACCCCUGUAGUC